This 442-nucleotide ribosomal RNA is filed under the name Tomopagurus sp. USNM 1549571. RNAcentral's name for it is "partial large subunit ribosomal RNA". It matches the Rfam family "Bacterial large subunit ribosomal RNA", at positions 1932 to 2573 of the family's 2925-position model. Lineage: Eukaryota; Metazoa; Arthropoda; Malacostraca; Decapoda; Paguridae. The record is from RNAcentral.
CGCAGUAUUUUGACUGUGCGAAGGUAGCAUAAUAGAUUGUCUUUUAAAUGGAGGCUUGAAUGAAUGGUUGGACGAAGUAUCGACUGUUUCUUAGAUAAUAAUUGAAUUUGACUUUUAAGUGAAAAGGCUUAAAUAAAUUAAAAAGACGAUAAGACCCUAUAAAUCUUUACAUUAUUUAUGCUUUAUAUUUUAAAUUAUAAGUUUAUAGGUUAUAAAGUGUGUAUUUUGUUGUGCUGGGGCGGCAUAGAUAUAUAAGCGACCUGUUUAUGAAAAGAAAUCAGUAAUAUUUGGUUAGUAAAGUUGAUCCUUAAUAAAGAUUAUAAGAUUAAGAUACUUUAGGGAUAACAGCGUUAUUUUUUCUGAGAGUUCAUAUCGAAGAAAGAGUUUGCGACCUCGAUGUUGAAUUAAAGUUUUCUCUAUGGUGCAGAAGUUAUAGUAGAAA